GGGCGUGUGGCGCAAUGGUUAGCGCGUUUGACUUCUAGCCCACGUAAUUCAUCAAAAGGUUGUAGGUUCGAGUCCUACCUCGCUCA
Mycena haematopus is the source of this 86-nucleotide non-coding RNA. The record is from the annotation of a GenBank genome assembly. NCBI's taxonomy places the organism in Eukaryota, Fungi, Basidiomycota, Agaricomycetes, Agaricales, Mycenaceae.